CCCUUAGAUGUUCUGGGCCGCACGCGCGCUACACUGACUGGUGCAACAAGUGUCUGACCUUGGCUCGAGAGGCCUGGGCAACCUUUGAACGCCAGUCGUGCUGGGGAUAGAUUCUUGCAAUUAUUAAUCUUCAACGAGGAAUUCCUAGUAAACGCAAGUCAUCAGCUUGCAUUGAUUACGUCCCUGCCCUUUGUACACACCGCCCGUCGCACCUACCGAUUGAAUGGUCCGGUGAAGCCUCCGGAUUGGCGCGCACCUCGGUGCCGCCGAGAAGUUGGCUAAACCUUACCAUUUAGAGGAAGGUGAANUCGUANCA
RNAcentral lists this ribosomal RNA (316 nucleotides) under uncultured eukaryote. RNAcentral describes it as "partial 18S ribosomal RNA". It matches the Rfam family "Eukaryotic small subunit ribosomal RNA", at positions 1470 to 1796 of the family's 1831-position model. The record is from RNAcentral.